UACAGAGGUCUCAACCGUUGUUCGGAUUCAUUGGGCGUAAAGGGUGCGUAGGCGGUCGUGCAAGUCGGAUGUGAAAUCUCAGGGCUCAACCCUGAAACUGCAUUCGAUACUGCGCGGCUAGAGUGCUGGAGGGGAGACUGGAAUUUACGGUGUAGCAGUGAAAUGCGUAGAUAUCGUAAGGAAGACCAGUGGCGAAGGCGAGUCUCUGGACCAGUUCUGACACUGAUGAGCGAAAGCCAGGGGAGCAAACAGG
This 253-nucleotide ribosomal RNA is filed under the name uncultured bacterium. RNAcentral describes it as "partial 16S ribosomal RNA". It matches the Rfam family "Bacterial small subunit ribosomal RNA", at positions 524 to 776 of the family's 1533-position model. The record is from RNAcentral.